RNAcentral lists this ribosomal RNA (497 nucleotides) under uncultured bacterium. RNAcentral describes it as "partial 16S ribosomal RNA". It matches the Rfam family "Bacterial small subunit ribosomal RNA", at positions 28 to 507 of the family's 1533-position model. The record is from RNAcentral.
GAUGAACGCUGGCGGCGUGCCUAAUACAUGCAAGUCGAGCGAACAGACGAGGAGCUUGCUCCUCUGACGUUAGCGGCGGACGGGUGAGUAACACGUGGAUAACCUACCUAUAAGACUGGGAUAACUUCGGGAAACCGGAGCUAAUACCGGAUAAUAUAUUGAACCGCAUGGUUCAAUAGUGAAAGACGGUUUUGCUGUCACUUAUAGAUGGAUCCGCGCCGCAUUAGCUAGUUGGUAAGGUAACGGCUUACCAAGGCAACGAUGCGUAGCCGACCUGAGAGGGUGAUCGGCCACACUGGAACUGAGACGCGGUCCAGACUCCUGCGGUAGGCAGCAGCAGGGAAUCUUACGCAAUGGGCGAGAGCUUGACGGAGCAACGCCGCGUGAGUGAUGAAGGUCUUCGGCUCGUAAAACGCUGUUAUUAGUGGAGAACAAAUGUGUAAGUAACUAUGCACGUCUUGACGGUACCUAAUCAGAAAGCCACGGCUAACUACGUG